This is an RNA transcript of Sapajus apella (tufted capuchin), 1126 nucleotides long. It is a transcript of the gene named adaptin ear-binding coat-associated protein 2 pseudogene, with no coding region annotated. Lineage: Eukaryota; Metazoa; Chordata; Mammalia; Primates; Cebidae. The record is from RefSeq and is a predicted model, not a curated record. The transcript has a single exon.
GUGGGCUCCCCGCGUCGCGAUGGAGGAGAGCAGGUUCGAGUCGGUGCUGUGUGUCAAGCCUGACGUCCCCGUCCACCGCAUCCCUCCGCAGGCUACCAACCGUGGCUACAGGGCCACGGAGUGGCAGCUUGACCAGCCAUCAUGGAGUGGCCGGCCGAGGUUCACUGCAAAGGAGCAGAUGGCCUACAUCAAGCUGGAGGACAGGACCUCAGGGGAGCUCUUUGCUCAGGCCCCAGUGGAUCAGUUUCCUGGCACGGCUAUGGAGAGCGUGGCGGAUUCCAGCAGGUACCUCGUGAUCUGCAUUGAAGAUGGAAACGGGCAACGGGCGUUUAUUGGAAUUGGCUUCGGGGACCGAGGUGAUGCCUUCGACUUCAAUGUUGCAUUGCAGGAUCAUUUCAAGUGGGUGAAAGAGCAGUGUGAAUUUGCAAAACAAGCCCAGAACCCAGACCAAAGCCCCAACUUGGACCUGGGCUUCAAGGAGGGCCAGGCCAUCAAGCUCAACAUUGCAAACAUGAAGAAGGAAGGAGCAGCCGGAAUCCCGGAGCCCGGCCUGCCAGCACAGGAGGGUUGAGCUUGCUUCCCCCUGCCCCAGGGGGCAAAACCUCCACCCUCAUCCCUGCCCCUGGGGAGCAGUUGUCGGUGGGGGGAUCCCUCCUCCAGCCAGCAGUUGCUCCCACUUCAGGAGGUGCUUCUGUACCCUGGCCACAGCCCAAGCCUGCCACCGCUGCCAUCUGGGGAGACUUUACCAAAUCUACAGGAUCAACUUCCAGCCAGACCCAACCAGGCUGGGUCCAGUUCUGACCUGAGCACAAUUUUUCCUCAUGGGACUUCUGGGAAGGAGCUCCCUCAUCUGGGCCAAAGGAAGGAGGGCGAAGCAUUCCUCAACUGGCCUGUGUUUGCAGCAUGAAUCUCUCCUCUCUCCUUGCCUGGCUCUGUUGACAAACUGGGCAUGUUUGGCAGUAAAUUGGCAUCUUGUCACACUGUUUCCUGGAAUUCAAGCAUGCAACCAGUACACAGAAGAAAAGCUCCGGGAUCCCUGUCCCCAUCUGUCCUCUUGACAUGAGACAGACUCUGAGACUUCUUCUAUGGCAAUGACACGUAUUAAACACAAGCCCCCAAAGCAAAA